UACAGAGGUCUCAAGCGUUGUUCGGAUUCAUUGGGCGUAAAGGGUGCGUAGGCGGCGCGGUAAGUCGGGUGUGAAAUCUUGGAGCUUAACUCCGAAACUGCAUUCGAUACUGCCGUGCUUGAGGACUGGAGAGGAGACUGGAAUUUACGGUGUAGCGGUGAAAUGCGUAGAUAUCGUGAGGAAGACCGGUGGCGAAGGCGGGUCUCUGGGCAGUUCCUGACGCUGAGGCGCGAAAGCCUGGGGAGCAAACAGG
RNAcentral lists this ribosomal RNA (253 nucleotides) under uncultured bacterium. RNAcentral's name for it is "partial 16S ribosomal RNA". It matches the Rfam family "Bacterial small subunit ribosomal RNA", at positions 524 to 776 of the family's 1533-position model. The record is from RNAcentral.